RNAcentral lists this unclassified non-coding RNA (278 nucleotides) under Hevea brasiliensis (rubber tree). Lineage: Eukaryota; Viridiplantae; Streptophyta; Magnoliopsida; Malpighiales; Euphorbiaceae. The record is from RNAcentral.
UGACAGGCAACAAUAAAAUGGUCAGCUCCAUCUGUUCUAUUCCAGAAACGAUACUUUUGCGCAAUCAUAUCAACAUAGUUACUUAAAAAUUGAAUUAUAUUUGUACGGUUGUGAGAAUCAGGCACGUACAAUGUCAACUUCAGUGAUCGGAAACUUAUCGGCAAAUAAAAUAGGUGAGCCUUUUUAGGGUUCUUAGUGACAAAUCUUUUGUUUUCUUGAAGCAGCUUUAUGAACCAGCCCUCUGAAGCAUAUAUUCCAUCGAGAGGUCCGGAAUGGCA